AACGCUAGCUACAGGCUUAACACAUGCAAGUCGAGGGGAAACGAUGGGAGGGCUUGCCCUCCCAGGCGUCGACCGGCGCACGGGUGAGUAACACGUAUCCAACCUGCCCUCUUCCGGGGAACAACCUUGCGAAAGUAAGACUAAUGCCCCAUGUGUCCUCAGACGGCAUCAGACGAGGACGAAAGAUUUAUCGGAAGUGGAUGGGGAUGCGCCUGAUUAGGCAGUUGGCGGGGCAACGGCCCACCAAGCCGACGAUCAGUAGGGGUUCUGAGAGGAAGGUCCCCCACAUUGGAACUGAGACACGGUCCAAACUCCUACGGGAGGCAGCAGUGAGGAAUAUUGGUCAAUGGGCGAGAGCCUGAACCAGCCAAGUAGCGUGCAGGAUGACGGCCCUAUGGGUUGUAAACUGCUUUUGCGCGGGGAUAAAGUGCGCCACGUGUGGCUCAUUGCAGGUACCGCGCGAAUAAGGACCGGCUAAUUCCGUGCCAGCAGCCGCGGUAAUACGGAAGGUCCGGGCGUUAUCCGGAUUCAUUGGGUUUAAAGGGAGCGCAGGCCGCCCCUUAAGCGUGUUGUGAAAUGCCGCGGCUCAACCGUGGCACUGCAGCGCGAACUGGGGGGCUUGAGUGCGCGCAGCGCAGGCGGAACUCGUGGUGUAGCGGUGAAAUGCUUAGAUAUCACGAAGAACUCCGAUUG
RNAcentral lists this ribosomal RNA (693 nucleotides) under uncultured Bacteroidales bacterium. RNAcentral's name for it is "bacterial SSU rRNA". It matches the Rfam family "Bacterial small subunit ribosomal RNA", at positions 32 to 715 of the family's 1533-position model. Lineage: Bacteria; Pseudomonadati; Bacteroidota; Bacteroidia; Bacteroidales. The record is from RNAcentral.